UACGUAGGUGGCAAGCGUUGUCCGGAUUUAUUGGGUUUAAAGGGUGCGUAGGCGGUGUCCUAAGUCAGUUGUGUAAUACGGCAGCUUAACUGUCGAGGUGCAAUUGAUACUGGGACACUUGAGUACUGAUGAGGUAUGCGGAAUGGACGGUGUAGCGGUGAAAUGCUUAGAUAUCGUCCAGAACACCGAUAGCGAAGGCAGCAUACUAAGGAGUAACUGACGCUGAGGCACGAAAGUGUGGGGAUCAAACAGG
Molecule: ribosomal RNA, 253 nt
Filed under: uncultured bacterium
Lineage: Bacteria
Description: partial 16S ribosomal RNA
Rfam family: Bacterial small subunit ribosomal RNA
Source: RNAcentral